GCGUGGGUAACCUGGCCCAUACAGGGGGAUAACACUUAGAAAUAGGUGCUAAUACCGCAUAACAACAGAAAGCGCAUGCUUUUUGUUUGAAAACCAAGGUGGUAUGGGAUGGACCCGCGUCUGAUUAGCUGGUUGGCGGGGUAAAGGCCCACCAAGGCGACGAUCAGUAGCCGGCCUGAGAGGGUGGACGGCCACAUUGGGACUGAGACACGGCCCAAACUCCUACGGGAGGCAGCAGUGGGGAAUAUUGCACAAUGGGGGAAACCCUGAUGCAGCGACGCCGCGUGAGUGAAGAAGUAAUUCGUUAUGUAAAGCUCUAUCAGCAGGGAAGAAAAUGACGGUACCUGAGUAAGAAGCCCCGGCUAACUACGUGCCAGCAGCCGCGGUAAUACGUAGGGGGCAAGCGUUAUCCGGAUUUACUGGGUGUAAAGGGAGCGUAGACGGCAGUGCAAGUCUGGAGUGAAAGGCGGGGGCUCAACCCCCGGACUGCUCUGGAAACUGUACGGCUGGAGUGCAGGAGAGGUAAGUGGAAUUCCUAGUGUAGCGGUGAAAUGCGUAGAUAUUAGGAGGAACACCAGUGGCGAAGGCGGCUUACUGGACUGUAACUGACGGUGAGGCGCGAAAGCGUGGGGAGCAAACAGGAUUAGAUACCCUGGUAGUCCACGCUGUAAACGAUCGAUACUAGGUGU
RNAcentral lists this ribosomal RNA (689 nucleotides) under uncultured bacterium. Its description in RNAcentral is "bacterial SSU rRNA". It matches the Rfam family "Bacterial small subunit ribosomal RNA", at positions 115 to 823 of the family's 1533-position model. The record is from RNAcentral.